UGGGUCAGCGACUUAUAUUCUGUAGCAAGGUUAACCGAAUAGGGGAGCCGGAGGGAAACCGAGUCUUAAUUGGGCGUUAAGUUGCAGGGUAUAGACCCGAAACCCGGUGAUCUAGCCAUGGGCAGGUUGAAGGUUGGGUAACACUAACUGGAGGACCGAACCGACUAAUGUUGAAAAAUUAGCGGAUGACCUGUGGCUGGGGGUGAAAGGCCAAUCAAACCGGGAGAUAGCUGGUUCUCCCCGAAAGCUAUUUAGGUAGCGCCUCGUGAAUUCAUCUCCGGGGGUAGAGCACUGUUUCGGCUAGGGGGCCAUCCCGGCUUACCAACCCGAUGCAAACUGCGAAUACCGGAGAAUGUUAUCACGGGAGACACACGGCGGGUGCUAACGUCCGUCGUGAAGAGGGAAACAACCCAGACCGCCAGCUAAGGUCCCAAAGUCAUGGUUAAGUGGGAAACGAUGUGGGAAGGCCCAGACAGCCAGGAUGUUGGCUUAGAAGCAGCCAUCAUUUAAAGAAAGCGUAAUAGCUCACUGGUCGAGUCGGCCUGCGCGGAAGAUGUAACGGGGCUAAACCAUGCACCGAAGCUGCGGCAGCGACGCUGAUGCGU
Molecule: ribosomal RNA, 605 nt
Filed under: Salmonella enterica subsp. enterica serovar Saphra
Lineage: Bacteria; Pseudomonadati; Pseudomonadota; Gammaproteobacteria; Enterobacterales; Enterobacteriaceae
Description: partial 23S ribosomal RNA
Rfam family: Bacterial large subunit ribosomal RNA
Source: RNAcentral